This 402-nucleotide ribosomal RNA is filed under the name uncultured bacterium. RNAcentral's name for it is "partial 16S ribosomal RNA". It matches the Rfam family "Bacterial small subunit ribosomal RNA", at positions 338 to 732 of the family's 1533-position model. The record is from RNAcentral.
CCUACGGGAGGCAGCAGUGGGGAAUAUUGCGCAAUGGGCGAAAGCCUGACGCAGCGACGCCGCGUGAGUGAUGAAGGUCUUCGGAUCGUACACCUCUGUCAGCAGGGAAGAAAGGUAACUGACCUAAUCAGCAGUGCCUUUACGGUACCUGCACAGGAAGCACCGUAUAACUCCGUGACAGCAGCCGCGGUAAUACGGAGGGGUCGAGCGUUAAUCGGAAUUACUGCGCGUAAAGCGCUCGUAGUCAGUAUGUCAAUCUAAGGGUGAAAUCCCCGCGCUCAACGUGGGAACUGCCUUUGAAACUGGCAAACUAGAGUGUGUGAGAGGAUAGUGGAAUUCCAGGUGUAGGGGUGAAAUGCGGAGAUAUCUGGAGGAACAUCAGUGGCGAAGGCGACUAACUGG